Molecule: ribosomal RNA, 408 nt
Filed under: Triticum aestivum (bread wheat)
Lineage: Eukaryota; Viridiplantae; Streptophyta; Magnoliopsida; Poales; Poaceae
Description: partial small subunit ribosomal RNA
Source: RNAcentral
AUGGCGUCGUUGUCCUCGCCGUGGGUUGAAUGGACCGGGGAGUACACGAAGGCGGCGCAAGCGGAGGCGCUCCCGCCGAAUGAGUGGGCGGCGCGGGUGGCCACAGCGGCGGCAGCCGCGGGGGAAAGAGGGGACGUACAGUUUUCGGCGGGGCUGGCCGAAAUGCUGGCGCGCGUGCUCCUCUCUGGGGAAAGCAGCGGCGCCGCCCCCGCCGCGGCGUGGAAGUACGCCGAGGCUGCCCUCGCCGCGCGCCUCGCGUCACCGGCGCUCCUCCUCACGCUCCUCUCCUCAAGGGUCAUUCCUCAACGGGUGGCAAGGCCAACAGCGUAUCGACUUUAUUUGGAGCUCUUGCGGAGACAUGGAUUCAAAUUAUGUUUUCAGAUGAAAGCGGCAAAUUCCAACAAGUAA